Molecule: long non-coding RNA, 817 nt
Organism: Xyrauchen texanus (razorback sucker)
Lineage: Eukaryota; Metazoa; Chordata; Actinopteri; Cypriniformes; Catostomidae
Exons: 3
Source: RefSeq, a predicted model, not a curated record
AGCUUGAUGGGCAGACCAAGUCUGAAAAUGAUACAGGAGGUUGAAACGAGAUGGAACAGCACAUUCGACAUGCUACAACGCUUGUAUGAGCAACGUGAGCCAGUGGCUGCUGCACUUGCCAAUUUAAACAGUGAUACUGCUCCCCUGACAAGUCUUGAGUAUGACAUUAUUCAACAGUCAUUGACACUUCUUCAACCAUUCAAACUAGCAACAACAGAGAUGUCAGAGGAACAGAGAGUGUCUGCUUCAAAGCUCAUACCAUUGUACAGGAUGUUGCAGCACAAGCUUGCACAGAAAAAGGAAAUGCAACGCAGGAAUCAACUGUACAAUUAGGCUCACAUCUACAAGAAGGUCUGCACUCCAGAUGUGGAGGGUACGAGACUUUUAGAGCCUUGGCACUGGCUACACUGCUGGACCCAAGGUUUAAAAAUGUGGCUUUUGGAAAUCCUGCCAAAGCCCUGGAUGCUGAAAAGCACAUCACACUGGAGUGUGCUUCACUGAUGCGUUCAAACACAACUCCUGAACCACAAAUGUCAACAUCAGGCCCAUCAUCAACACCAGUUGAAACACAAGACAGUUUAUGGGAACAUUUUGACAAUCGUAUCCGUGAGACCCAGAUGAUACACAAUCCUACAGCUGAUGCCACAGUGGAAGUGAAAAAAUACCUCAGCGAUGCGUUUUUGCCCAGAACUCAUGAUCCUCUAACUUACUGGAAAGAGAGAGCAGUAAUCUUUCCUCAUUUGUAUGUCCUAGCUAAAAAAUAUCUUUGUAUGCCAGCAACAAGUGUCCCUUGUGAGAGAAUUUUUUCAAAGGCUGG